Molecule: ribosomal RNA, 436 nt
Filed under: uncultured bacterium
Lineage: Bacteria
Description: partial 16S ribosomal RNA
Rfam family: Bacterial small subunit ribosomal RNA
Source: RNAcentral
UGGGGAAUUUUGGACAAUGGGCGAAAGCCUGAUCCAGCAAUGCCGCGUGUGUGAAGAAGGCCUUCGGGUUGUAAAGCACUUUUUGUCCGGUAAAGAAAUCCUUGGCUCUAAUACAGUCGGGGGAUGACGUACCGGAAGAAUAAGCACCGGCUAACUACGUGCCAGCAGCCGCGGUAAUACGUAGGGUGCAAGCGUUAAUCGGAAUUACUGGGCGUAAAGCGUGCGCAGGCGGUUUGCUAAGACCGAUGUGAAAUCCCCGGGCUCAACCUGGGAACUGCAUUGGUGACUGGCAGGCUAGAGUAUGGCAGAGGGGGGUAGAAUUCCACGUGUAGCAGUGAAAUGCGUAGAGAUGUGGAGGAAUACCGAUGGGCGAAGGCAGCCCCCUGGGCCAAAUACUGACGCUCAUGCACGAAAGCGUGGGGAGCAAACAGGAUUA